CCUACGGGAGGCAGCAGUAAGGAAUAUUGGUCAAUGGAGGCAACUCUGAACCAGCCAUGCCGCGUGCAGGAAGACAGCCCUCUGGGUCGUAAACUGCUUUUAUUCGGGAAUAAACCACAUUACGUGUAAUGUGCUGAAUGUACCGAAGGAAUAAGGAUCGGCUAACUCCGUGCCAGCAGCCGCGGUAAU
Molecule: ribosomal RNA, 189 nt
Filed under: uncultured bacterium
Lineage: Bacteria
Also listed under: 1 other name
Description: partial 16S ribosomal RNA
Rfam family: Bacterial small subunit ribosomal RNA
Source: RNAcentral